This 1421-nucleotide long non-coding RNA is filed under the name Nicotiana benthamiana. Its description in RNAcentral is "long non-coding RNA (NBEN_LNC040432)". The record is from RNAcentral. Lineage: Eukaryota; Viridiplantae; Streptophyta; Magnoliopsida; Solanales; Solanaceae.
GGUGAAUAGUGCAUGAACUGUGACAUAAAUUAGAGACAUAAAGUGGACCUGGAUCAUUCCUGGAUGAUCCCUAGGGUUAUUUCCAGGCCAAGGUGUUCCAUCUUGCAUUGUCCAACCUUCUUCGGGCAUCUUUUGUGCUUUUGCAACAAGGAUAUUGAUCCGUAUUUUAAAUUCUUCAUAUUCCCUCUGCACAGUCAAAAUUGUCAGAUUAUUAUUAUUGUUUUGAUUGGUGUAAAGGUUCAGGACUAUUUCAGAGAAAAAAGAAUUUUGGCAGUGGUAUCAACAUAAAUCCUAAUAAUGGAGAGGCAUUAUUAUUGUUUUGACUGGUGAAUUAUUUCAGAGAAAAAAAAAAUUGGCAGUGAUAUCAACAUAAAUCCUAAUAAUGGAGAGGCCUGAGGUUCCCAACUUGCAGAACUUUGCGAAUGAUUUAUUGUAGACUACUAUGCAGCUAACCAAAAAACGUUCAGGUUAAAGUAAUCUCCACAACUACUUGUCCCGAAAAAUAUGAAUGCAUUAACUCAGCCUUCCAAAAUCCUAUAAAAAGUGAUUGAAUUUACCUAAUGGAGCAUUUGCUGAAAUAAAACUACAUUACCAUCAAAAGCCUAUUUCUAAGAUGUGAUGCCUAAUACCAAUACCAUCAAGUAAAUGAGAUGCAAACAGUCCCCAUUGCUAAAUAUAAAACAUUUAAAAUUCAUGUGUACCUUCAUUGCCCUGCGCUCUUUCACAAAAGAAGGCUGAACCUUGUCCUUCAAAUAAUCUAUCUUUUGAGCGAAAUAAAACUCAGGGGCCCGAGGCUCAAUAUUGAACUUCUUGCAGAAUGGAACCCAUUUCCUUGCAAACUCUGCAGUCUCAGAAAGUGCUUCAAAGUUGAACUUCUUGCAGAAGGGAACCCAUUUCCUUGCAAACUCGGCGGUCUCAGAAAGGGCUUCAAAUGUUAGCAUUGCUGAACCAUCAUCUGAGACAUAGCAGGAAACCUUGUCGACAGCAUAAUCCACAGCAAGAAUGGACAACACCGUGUUAGCAGUAAUGAGUGGAGGUUCUUUCAUGGGAUCCACUGUACUGACAAAAAUAUCAACAGGUGCAAGCUGCGAAGGCUCCCCUUCUCUAUCAUAUCUGAAAAAGCAAGAAAGAAUUUCAAGACCUUAAACUACACUACACGGAUAUGAAAUCUAGUAUUUUUCCUAAAAGGACGCAAAAGGAAACCUUUCACUAAUCAAAAAGUUUCUUGCCUAAGAGUAUCUUAGCAACUAACCUCACGGCCAGUCUGUCAAGGAAUGUCUCACGAUUGAUCGGUGACCAUUUCGGAAACUGAUCGAGAAGCCAGGACAAGGCAAACCAAACCUCACAUAUAACUGAUACUAGCCACAGAGGAUAUGCAUCAUUCACUGGAUGAGUUAGCCGGUAUUGCAAGAAAAAGCCCA